Molecule: unclassified non-coding RNA, 207 nt
Filed under: Hevea brasiliensis (rubber tree)
Lineage: Eukaryota; Viridiplantae; Streptophyta; Magnoliopsida; Malpighiales; Euphorbiaceae
Source: RNAcentral
CUGAAAGCAUUUGCAUAUACAAUAUUUGUUAGCAUUAUGAAGAAACGAGCAAAAGAAUAAAGUUGAAUCAAAUAAAGCAUUGGCCUUUCUGCAUCAGGAAAUUCUAGGAUGCAUUCGAAUCUGACGUCAACGGCGUAGAUGGAGGUAGCAGACUUUUGGUUUUGUUACUAGUUGUAGAUUUGGCAAUUGGAGGGGGUUGUGAAGAAG